RNAcentral lists this small RNA (592 nucleotides) under Vigna angularis var. angularis. RNAcentral describes it as "Non-protein coding transcript". The record is from RNAcentral. Lineage: Eukaryota; Viridiplantae; Streptophyta; Magnoliopsida; Fabales; Fabaceae.
CUAUCUUUGUUGACAAUAUCUCAUCAUGAACCCUCUUUGUUGUUUCCUGUCAUCGUCGCUCGUUUCAUUUUUGGUGAACUUCAACCAUUAAUAGUGUUCACCAUAACCACUACUGUCACGCGCCUACCAUUGGUCAUUCCUCCUCCGCAGUAGUCGUUUUGAGCACCUCCUUGUUGCGCCUUGCCUUGGGUUCCAACUACAACACACUCCCUAUUUAGAUUCGCCUCCACUCUAUUGUUGUCAUAUCUCACUCCGCACCACCACUAAAGCUCACUCCCAUUUCCAGCGAGGUCAUCGACGAGGUCAUCGACGAGCUUUAUGUGUUGGUAUUCUUAAAGGAACUUGAGGUGAAUAUAUGGAAAGGAUGUGUACUUCAUCCAUAAAGCUGAAGACUCAUGAGGAGUAGGAAGGAAGUAUGAUUUUAGCUCUAGAGUUAAGUUGGUUUUGGUUGCUAAGCUAUGUGUGAGAGUUAUGUUGAUGAUUGAACCUCUUGGACCAAGUUUACAUGUGGAUUCAUUAUUUUGGUUGAUACAACAAUAAUUAUUAUUUAAUUAUGUGCUAUUAUAUGAAUUAACGAAAGAUUGAAUGAGAC